RNAcentral lists this non-coding RNA (49 nucleotides) under unclassified sequences. RNAcentral describes it as "DUF3800-XI RNA". It matches the Rfam family "DUF3800-XI RNA". Rfam says of the family: Actinobacteria, Firmicutes, Proteobacteria, Spirochaetes (1 example). Nearby to DUF3800 RNAcentral also lists the same sequence under 1 other name. The record is from Rfam by way of RNAcentral.
UGGGCUGGUCGAAAGACCCGGGGUCCACCAAAUGGCGGGUAAGACACCC